CUCAUGAAGCUGGAAUCGCUAGUAAUCGCGGAUCAGAAUGCCGCGGUGAAUACGUUCCCGGGUCUUGUACACACCGCCCGUCACACCAUGGGAGUCGGAAAUGCCCGAAGUCUGUGACCCAACCUUAGGGAGGGAGCAGCCGAAGGCAGGUCGGAUGACUGGGGUGAAGUCGUAACAAGGUACC
RNAcentral lists this ribosomal RNA (184 nucleotides) under uncultured bacterium. Its description in RNAcentral is "partial 16S ribosomal RNA". It matches the Rfam family "Bacterial small subunit ribosomal RNA", at positions 1317 to 1500 of the family's 1533-position model. The record is from RNAcentral.